This 1678-nucleotide long non-coding RNA is filed under the name Mus musculus (house mouse). RNAcentral describes it as "long non-coding RNA chr10:108274790-108276468". Lineage: Eukaryota; Metazoa; Chordata; Mammalia; Rodentia; Muridae. The record is from RNAcentral.
UUGGGUUGGGUUGGGUUUGGUUUGGUUUGGUUUUUAAAGGCAGUGCCUCACUAUAUAGAUCUUGCUGGCCUUGAACUCACAGAGAUCCUCCUUUGCCUCCCAAGUACUGAGAUUAAAGGUGGGAGUCACUUCAUAUGGUGAUCAUGGGUUUGGAAUUACUAACCAAUUUGUAUGAUGCUUCUAAUAUCCAGAUAUAAAAAACUUAAAUAGUUACAGGAUGUAAGGUUGAUUUGCGUUGCACAUUUCCUUUUGUAGUUCAAUAUUUCUUUGAGGGUAAACCAUAGAGGGGGACAAGAAAAGAUAAAAAUCUCCUUUAAAAAGAAACCUUUAAAAAAAAGAUACUGAGGCUGGGAAUAUAACUCAGUUGUAGACCAGCCAGCCCUAAAGGGUCAUUCAGUCUUCGGGGUUAAAGUAAAAUCAUGAGCUGAGAGUGACAGACAGAAGAAUCAAACUCACCUCUGGUUGUGAGUUUUGGGGUUUUUUUUUUUUUAAUGUUGAACAGUGCAGAGGGAUAAAAAGGUGUGGUUAAUUGAUUAACUGUUAUCACUUUGUGUGUGUGUGUGUGUGUGUGUGUGUGUGUGUGUGUGUGUGUGUGUGUGUGUGUACACAUAUAUAACAUGUCACAUAAUUAAUAGUAUAAGAUAAUGAUACCCUUAUCAGCACCUCAGAAUUAUGCUUAUGAAAUUAGAAUUUCAAAUUUUAAACAUUUCACUGAAAUAGUUUGUAAUUAGACCAUUAUUUUUAAUUAGCUUUGAAAAAUAGAAGCAAGUCUCUUGUAUUUUGAUAUAUAUUGCCUAGCUUGAUGUGGAAUUUUAGCAGUAAAUUGUUUACUGUUCUAAAUGUGUUGGAGUAUUCUUUUAAAUUUUCAGUUUUUUAGCUCAUUUCCUAUGAUUCUAUCUGUUCUUAUUGUACCUUUGAGUAUUUCCUUAUUUUUUAUUCUUAUUUCUUUAUGUUCUGAUUCCUGCAGAGCCUGCACCAAAUAAACCAAAUUGAGCCUCUGAGGGAGCUAAAUGAGAGGCUGCUGGCUGAGAAUAGGGCCUUGACCAGAGUGGUAGCCAAGCGCUCAGGGUUCUGUAGGCAUCUGCAGCCUGUGAGCCUGUAAUUCAUAGUCUCUUCAUUGCUCCUUGGUAGACCAGGCGGGUGUGUCUGUUAGUAAGCGUGUUUUCGUAAAAGCUCACAACUACAAAUUAAUACAUGUGUGUAGAACUAUCACAUACAUAACUGUUUAACUCUGCAUGGCUUCUCAGAACUUUAAAAUUAUCACUAAUUGUAUAUCACAACUGAUAAACCACAGUAAAAUUAGGGACUGGGUUAGGAAUUAAGACUCCUCUGCCCACUCAGAUUUCUUUUGCUUCAAACAUAAUUUAGAUAUAUCUACUAUUUAUUGUCAUUUAUGAAAUACAAAGUAACAUCCAAAUUAACCUAAAGAUUGGGCCAACUAUGUCUGCCUUAGAAAAUAGUGUCACUUGUGCUCAGUUCAUCCUAUCUUCACUGUCCGUUACAGUCCCGAUGGCAGCCUCGAGGCUCUGGAUUACCCCUGGACACUGAGCUCAGGGAGAACUAUGUGUGGCUCUCUGUAGGGGUCACUCUUCUCGUAGGUGUGGCUGGCAUGAGUAGUGUUGCAAGUUCCAUUUUUGCUCUCCCUAAUAUACCAGUGUCACAGGACAUUCUGAAAACU